Molecule: ribosomal RNA, 253 nt
Filed under: uncultured bacterium
Lineage: Bacteria
Description: partial 16S ribosomal RNA
Rfam family: Bacterial small subunit ribosomal RNA
Source: RNAcentral
GACGAACGGUGCGAACGUUGUUCGGAAUCACUGGGCUUAAAGGGCGCGUAGGCGGGCUAUCAAGUCCGGGGUGAAAUCCUCCAGCUCAACUGGAGAACGGCCUCGGAUACUGAUGGUCUCGAGGAGGAUAGGGGCACACGGAACUGUGGGUGGAGCGGUGAAAUGCGUUGAUAUCCAUAGGAACUCCGGUGGCGAAAGCGGUGUGCUGGAUCCUUUCUGACGCUGAGGCGCGAAAGCCAGGGGAGCAAACGGG